GAAAAAGGAAGAUGGCGGCGGCCGUGAACCAGCGUGGCCUUAACCAGCCAUAGUUAUGAUAUUAUAAGACCUGUGAGUGUCUGCCUGACCUGUAGUUUGAAGAUGCUCUUUCUGAAGUCUUAGGAGGGCCCCUCAGUGAGGAUGCCCGAAGCUGAAGGCUUUACUUCUGUUUCAAGGACUGGAUGCAUCAUCACUAUCUCCAUCAUCACCAGCAGCAGCAGCAACAAAGAUAAACUCACUUGUUAGAGUGAAGACUAACA
This is a non-coding RNA of Mus caroli (Ryukyu mouse), 260 nucleotides long. The record is from RefSeq and is a predicted model, not a curated record. Lineage: Eukaryota; Metazoa; Chordata; Mammalia; Rodentia; Muridae.